Molecule: ribosomal RNA, 395 nt
Filed under: uncultured bacterium
Lineage: Bacteria
Description: bacterial SSU rRNA
Rfam family: Bacterial small subunit ribosomal RNA
Source: RNAcentral
AUUGAACGCUGGCGGCAUGCCUUACACAUGCAAGUCGAACGGCAGCACGGGAGCUUGCUCCUGGUGGCGAGUGGCGAACGGGUGAGUAAUAUAUCGGAACGUACCCUAGUAGUGGGGAUAACGCAGCGAAAGUUGCGCUAAUACCGCAUACGAUCUACGGAUGAAAGUGGGGGAUCGCAAGACCUCAUGCUCAUGGAGCGGCCGAUAUCUGAUUAGCUAGUUGGUGGGGUAAAGGCCUACCAAGGCAUCGAUCAGUAGCUGGUCUGAGAGGACGACCAGCCACACUGGAACUGAGACACGGUCCAGACUCCUACCGGGAGGCAGCAGUGGGGGAAUUUUUGGGACAAUGGGCGAAAGCCUGAUCCAGCAAUGCCGCGUGCAGGAAGAAGGCCUUC